CGGAAGUACUGGGCGUAAAGCGCACGUAGGCGGCUAUUCAAGGCAGAGGUGAAAGCCCGGGGCUCAACCCCGGAACUGCCUUUGAAACUAGGUAGCUAGAAUCUUGGAGAGGUCAGUGGAAUUCCGAGUGUAGAGGUGAAAUUCGUAGAUAUUCGGAAGAACACCAGUGGCGAAGGCGACUGACUGGACAAGUAUUGACGCUGAGGUGCGAAAGCGUGGGGAGCGAACAGG
RNAcentral lists this ribosomal RNA (231 nucleotides) under uncultured bacterium. RNAcentral's name for it is "partial 16S ribosomal RNA". It matches the Rfam family "Bacterial small subunit ribosomal RNA", at positions 546 to 776 of the family's 1533-position model. The record is from RNAcentral.